This 541-nucleotide ribosomal RNA is filed under the name Remiarctus bertholdii. RNAcentral's name for it is "partial 16S ribosomal RNA". It matches the Rfam family "Bacterial large subunit ribosomal RNA", at positions 1819 to 2625 of the family's 2925-position model. Lineage: Eukaryota; Metazoa; Arthropoda; Malacostraca; Decapoda; Scyllaridae. The record is from RNAcentral.
GUCUUUAUGAAGCUUCAUAUAAAGUCUGGCCUGCCCAAUGAUAUAAAAUUUAAUGGCCGCGGUAUAUUGACCGUGCGAAGGUAGCAUAAUAAUUAGUUUUUUAAUUGAAAACUAGAAUGAAAGGUCGAACAAGAAGUUAGCUGUCUCUAAAUUAAAUCUUGAAUUUAACAUUUAAGUGAAAAGGCUUAAAUACUUUAGGGGGACGAUAAGACCCUAUAAAUCUUUAUAUUUAAGUUUGUAAAAAAAAAUAUUAAGUACAUUUUUGUUUAACAGAUCUAAAUAUUUUGUUGGGGCGACAGAAGCACAAAAUGUAACUGCUUUAAAAAAAUAGUUAAUUAUGUUUAGUUAAAUGAUCCUUUAAUAAAGAUAUUAGUUUAAGUUACUUUAGGGAUAACAGCGUAAUUUCUUUUAAGAGUUCGUAUCGAAAAAGAAGUUUGCGACCUCGAUGUUGAAUUAAAGAUCCUUUGUGGCGCAGACGUUACAAAAGGAGGUCUGUUCGACCUUUAAAUCUUUACAUGAUUUGAGUUCAGACCGGUGUAAA